GCCCGGCUAGCUCAGAUGGUAGAGCAUUCGACUCUUAUUGUAGGGUUUCUCAGACAGUCUGUAUGGAUCUGUGGCCAUCGAAUUGUCGUGGGUUCGAGCCCCACGUUGGGCG
This is a transfer RNA of Puccinia triticina 1-1 BBBD Race 1, 112 nucleotides long. It matches the Rfam family "tRNA". From Rfam's summary of the family: Transfer RNA (tRNA) molecules are approximately 80 nucleotides in length. Their secondary structure includes four short double-helical elements and three loops (D, anti-codon, and T loops). Further hydrogen bonds mediate the characteristic L-shaped molecular structure. tRNAs have two regions of fundamental functional importance: the anti-codon, which is responsible for specific mRNA codon recognition, and the 3' end, to which the tRNAs corresponding amino acid is attached (by aminoacyl-tRNA synthetases). tRNAs cope with the degeneracy of the genetic code in two manners: having more than one tRNA (with a specific anti-codon) for a particular amino acid; and 'wobble' base-pairing, i.e. permitting non-standard base-pairing at the 3rd anti-codon position. Lineage: Eukaryota; Fungi; Basidiomycota; Pucciniomycetes; Pucciniales; Pucciniaceae. The record is from Rfam.